GUACGGGUGCGGAACACGUGUGCACUGCCUUUAUCUGGGGGAUAGCCUUUCGAAAGGAAGAUUAAUACCCCAUAAUAUGUUGAAUGGCAUCAUUCGACAUUGAAAACUCCGGUGGAUAGAGAUGGGCACGCGCAAGAUUAGAUAGUUGGUGAGGUAACGGGUCANCAAGUCUACGAUCUUUAGGGGGCCUGAGAGGGUGAUCCCCCAAACUGGUACUGAGACACGGAUCAGACUCCUACGGGAGGCAGCAGUGAGGAAUAUUGGACAAUGGGUGAGAGCCUGACCCAGCCAUCCCGCGUGAAGGACGACUGCCCUAUAGGUUGUAAACUUCUUUUGUAUAGGGAUAAACCUACCCUCGUGAGGGUAGCUGAAGGUACUAUACCGAAUAAGCACCGGCUAACUCCGUGCCAGCAGCCGCGGUAAAUACGGAGGGUGCAAGGCGUUAUCCCGGGAUUUAUCGGGUUAAANNGGGUCCGUAGGCGGACUCUGUACGUCACGCUGGUGGAAAUCUCACCAGUUUAAUGGUGGCAAACCUGGCCCAUUGGAUACUGGCCAGGUCCUUGGGCAAGCUGGUUCGGGCUCGGNAAAGUUAAGCUUGGG
This 600-nucleotide ribosomal RNA is filed under the name uncultured bacterium. Its description in RNAcentral is "bacterial SSU rRNA". The stretch from base 1 to 448 matches the Rfam family "Bacterial small subunit ribosomal RNA", at positions 100 to 546 of the family's 1533-position model. The record is from RNAcentral.